RNAcentral lists this ribosomal RNA (468 nucleotides) under uncultured bacterium. Its description in RNAcentral is "partial 16S ribosomal RNA". It matches the Rfam family "Bacterial small subunit ribosomal RNA", at positions 28 to 507 of the family's 1533-position model. The record is from RNAcentral.
GACGAACGCUGGCGGCGUGCUUAACACAUGCAAGUCGAACGGAAAGGCCCUGCUUUUGUGGGGUGCUCGAGUGGCGAACGGGUGAGUAACACGUGAGUAACCUGCCCUUGACUUUGGGAUAACUUCAGGAAACUGGGGCUAAUACCGGAUAGGAGCUCCUGCUGCAUGGUGGGGGGUGGAAAGUUUCGGCGGUUGGGGAUGGACUCGCGGCUUAUCAGCUUGUUGGUGGGGUAGUGGCUUACCAAGGCUUUGACGGGUAGCCGGCCUGAGAGGGUGACCGGCCACAUUGGGACUGAGAUACGGCCCAGACUCCUACGGGAGGCAGCAGUGGGGAAUAUUGCACAAUGGGCGGAAGCCUGAUGCAGCAACGCCGCGUGCGUGAUGACGGCCUUCGGGUUGUAAACCGCUUUCGCCUGUGACGAAGCGUGAGUGACGGUAAUGGGUAAAGAAGCACCGGCUAACUACGUG